CAGUCGCCGCGGGAAUACGAGGGGAGCUAGCGUUAUUCGGAAUUACUGGGCGUAAAGCGCACGUAGGCGGCUUUGUAAGUUAGAGGUGAAAGCCCAGAGCUCAACUCUGGAAUUGCCUUUAAGACUGCAUCGCUUGAAUCCAGGAGAGGUGAGUGGAAUUCCGAGUGUAGAGGUGAAAUUCGUAGAUAUUCGGAAGAACACCAGUGGCGAAGGCGGCUCACUGGACUGGUAUUGACGCUGAGGUGCGAAAGCGUGGGGAGCAAACAGGAUUAGAUACCCCGGUAGUCCCUGUCUCUUAUAC
RNAcentral lists this ribosomal RNA (301 nucleotides) under uncultured bacterium. Its description in RNAcentral is "partial 16S ribosomal RNA". It matches the Rfam family "Bacterial small subunit ribosomal RNA", at positions 509 to 807 of the family's 1533-position model. The record is from RNAcentral.